This 95-nucleotide small RNA is filed under the name Cavia aperea (Brazilian guinea pig). RNAcentral's name for it is "Y RNA (ENSCAPG00000003465.1)". The record is from RNAcentral. Lineage: Eukaryota; Metazoa; Chordata; Mammalia; Rodentia; Caviidae.
GGCUGAGUGGUAGUCCACUGUAUAAAAAGACCACAUCUGAUUGAACUUGUUCUGCUCUUUCCCCCCUUCUCACUACUGCACUUGACUAGUCUAAA